This 253-nucleotide ribosomal RNA is filed under the name uncultured bacterium. RNAcentral's name for it is "partial 16S ribosomal RNA". It matches the Rfam family "Bacterial small subunit ribosomal RNA", at positions 524 to 776 of the family's 1533-position model. The record is from RNAcentral.
UACGGAGGGUGCAAGCGUUGCUCGGAAUCACUGGGCGUAAAGCGUACGCAGGUGGUUUGUUAAGUCGGGUGUGAAAUCCCGGAGCUCAACUCCGGAACUGCGCCCGAUACUGGCAGACUUGAGUACGGGAGAGGGAAGCGGAAUUCCUGGUGUAGAGGUGAAAUUCGUAGAUAUCAGGAGGAACACCAGUGGCGAAAGCGGCUUCCUGGCCCGAUACUGACACUCAUGUACGAAAGCAUGGGUAGCAAACAGG